CCCGCGCGGGUGAUUCUUACAUUUUUACACACUGAUAUUUAUUUUUCAUAAUUAGUGUUAUAUAUUCAAAUCUGUUUCAGAUACAUCUAUUAUAUAAAUAUUUUUUAGGUACAAAUAUCCAAAUCGGGUAAUAUGAUUAUUUUUGGUACAAAUAUCCAAAUCCGCUUCACAUACAUUUAUUAUUUAGAUAUUUUUAGGUUUCUAUACAUCAUAACCAAACUCAUACAAAUCCAGAAGGACCCCACUC
This 247-nucleotide long non-coding RNA is filed under the name Brassica napus (rape). Its description in RNAcentral is "long non-coding RNA (BNAP_LNC023472)". The record is from RNAcentral. Lineage: Eukaryota; Viridiplantae; Streptophyta; Magnoliopsida; Brassicales; Brassicaceae.